This 1439-nucleotide long non-coding RNA is filed under the name Bemisia tabaci. RNAcentral describes it as "lncRNA ENSSSA1NGG003244". The record is from RNAcentral. Lineage: Eukaryota; Metazoa; Arthropoda; Insecta; Hemiptera; Aleyrodidae.
UAACGGUCCGAUCCAGGUUUCGCGGAUACCGAUACAGCAGCCACUUUGAAAAACGCCUUAUGAGCGUUCAGACGUUGCCAAAUUUCCUUUCAUAAAGUGCGAAUUCCCAGAAAAAUUUGGGGCUACUGUUCCUCCAAUUUUUCAGAGAAAUUCACCCGUGAAUAGAUCUGAAGUACGUCGAAAUUUCAAGGCGAAAUAUUCAUAACUUCUCUCAGAAAUCAAUGCUUUCCCAGGAGAGACGUGGCAACAUCCACAGGUUCAUACGGUGUUUUUCCUUAACGCGGCAUCACCGUAAGGUGCAGCGUGUCUUGGGUGUCUUAUCCUCGGCCCAGGUGCAAUCAAAGGAGACAUGCGUGGUAUUAGCCGCGCCGCUUUCAUUCGGCCCUCCUCCAGGUACUGAUUUCCGCGUCUCCUUGUUUGCUCCAUCUCAAAGCGUCCUCCCACCUCAACCGAGAAUUUUCUCAGAUUAUCAACCGUAGAACUUAGUCGCGAUUCCGAGGCCGCCCGCCGGACCAAAUACCCCGUUCGGUAUCUGAAAUAAGUGUAAACUGCGCGUUAUAUCAUAUCAACGCUUCUUAUCUACGGCCUUUGAUAAGAGAUUCGACCAUUUGCCUGUGUCGUCCGCGUCAAUUCGUCAGUCAGUGAAUCACCGCUAUUAUUUCCCCGGAAGGUAUUUUUACGUCGUGGUUUUUUGUGUUGGUUCGAGUUUGAGAUCAUCUAAAAUCGCAGUGUUAGAGUGUUUCACACAAUUUUUCGUGUUGCCACAAAAACUCCAUGUGUACGACGGUUAAACUGGUGACAAGAAGAACAUGGAGGAAACCGCCAAUUUAACGGAUUGCUCGACGUUCAGUCAGAACAGUGUCUCCACGUCGGACGGAACAAAUGGGUUCACUCCGCGCAGCAUACUUUUCCUGCUCAAGAAACACGACGAUAAUCUUAUCGCCAAAGCUAAGCCGUUACAAGAACACUUCAGCUGCUCCUUAAAUGUGGUUAUUAAGGAAAAAUUUGAAAUCGAUGACCCAUUAGAUAUUAUUGCAGAAACUCUAGUCGUAAUAGAUGAUUUUGAAGGUCCCCUUUUCGAACACCUUGAACAAAGAGUUCGCUCCUCUCCAAAGAUUAUUCAAGUCCGUGGACCUCCAGCCUUCAUCGAUGCCUGUGAUAAAUUAAGUUUAGAAACACGUAAAAGACCAUUGUUUUGUAAUGCAAUGACAUCAAUGGUUUUCUUCUGUGACGUUAAAAAUAAUAAAAGAAAAAAGAUCUUAUUGGUGCACCAAAUUAGGUAUAUGGGUGGUAGUGUGGUUCACCAUGUUGGCAGCAAAGUAACACACAUCAUCACCGAUCACUCAUCCACGGACGGAUAUGAAUAUGGGGGUACUUUCAACCUCCCUGUUAUAACGACCAAUUGGGUUUUCCAAUGUUGGUCUAAAGAAACGAAAUAG